AGUAUUCCAGAUUCUAUUGGAAGUUUGAUCCAUCUAAGAAUGCUUAAUCUUGAUAAGACUGACAUAUCUGAUAUUCCUGAGUCCAUACAUUGCCUUAUUAACCUUCAGAUAUUGAACUUGGAAGGUUGUCAUGCUUUGCAUAAUCUUCCUUUGGCUAUCACUCGAUUAUGCAACCUAAGGCGCCUAGGUCUUAAUGGGACGCCAAUAGAUCAGGUUCCAAAAGGGAUAUCUAAAUUGAAGUUUCUCAAUGAUUUAGAAUGCGCUCCAAUUGGCUGUGACAAUGUUAAUAGUAAUAAGGUGCAAGAUGGAUGGAGCCUAGAGGAGUUGGGUCCGCUUCUGCAGAUGAGGAGGCUUAUUAUGAUAAAAUUGGAGAGAGCAAGUCCUGUUUGCGCAAAUACAUUGCUGGUUGACAAAAAGUAUCUCAAACAUUUAAGAAUGUCAUGCACAGAAGAACGCGGAGAUCAACCAUAUUCUGAAGAGGAUGUUACCAACAUUGAGAAGGUGUUUGAGCAGCUAAUCCCUCCACAAAAUUUGGAAGCAUUGCGUAUUUGGCAUUUUUUCGGUCAAAGGUAUCCCUACUGGCUAGGCACUACUCAUUUGUCCUCACUGAAAUACUUCACCCUCGAAGGUUGCAAGUCCUGUGUGCAUCUUCCACCACUGGGGCAGCUCCCCAACUUAAAAUAUCUCAAAAUAAACCAAGCCUUUGCAGUUACUAAGAUUGGGCCCGAAUUUUUUGGUAAUUCCAGAUCAACUAAGAUCGUAGCUUUCCCCAAGCUUGAGGUGUUGCUAUUCUAUGACAUGCCUAAUUUGGAGGAGUGGACCUUUGUAGUUGAAGAAGAAGAAGCAAUAGCAGCAGGUAAGGAAGGUGAAGAGGAUGGAGCUGCUGCAAAGCAAAAGGGGGAAGCCCCACCUCCAAGGAUGCAGCUGCUGCCACAUUUGGAGAAGCUGGAAAUUAUCUGCUGCCUGAAGCUGAGAGCUCUUCCACGACAGCUUGGACAGGAGGCCACCAGCUUGAAGAAGCUCCAAUUAAGACACGUGAACAGCCUUAAGGUUGUGGAGGAUCUUAUGUUCCUCUCUGAUCUCCUUUUAAUUGCGAAUUGUGAAAGCCUGGAGAGGGUGUCAAAUCUACCGCAAGCAAGAGAGCUGCGUGUGCAGGGCUCUCCAUGCUUGACGUGUAUUGAGAAGUUGGACAACCUGCAGCUGUUGGGUCUGCACGAGAGUAUGCAAGAGGUCUCCUCACUGUGGCUGCCUAGGCUCCAACAGCAGUGCAGGCAAGUUCAUGGUGAAGAUUUCGAUGUAUUUAAUUGGACAUGAGAUGGCAUACAUCUCUCACAACAAUAUGGCUACUAAGAUGCAAGGUGAGGAUAGGCUCAGUAUUUGAAUUUGGUUGCAUUUUACGUCUCCCCCUGCCUUCAGUUUUGUCCCCUGUUCUUCUUUCCCUUUUCCUUUUAUCACAGGUCAUUGACUACCUGUAUUCAUAAUGUUGCAUGAGGGCAGGACAGGCUACACUACGCUUUAUGCAAGGCCGGAUAGUGGAGACGAAUAUAAUGUUCCAUGAUGAGGUCUUGUGGUGGAGGACCUCUCGUUAGUAGAGAAGUUCUUAAUCGGUGGGUGCGAAAGCCUGGAGAUGGUCUUGAAUCUUCCCAAGGUGCGACAGCUGUGGGUAAGUUGCUGUCCAAGUUUAAGGCAUGUGGAGUUGGACAGUUUGGAGCAGCUGUGGCUGGAUAUGGAUGUGCAGGACCUCGCUUCUCAGUGGGUGCCUGGGCUUAAACACCAACGCCAAAAACACCAUGGCGAAUACCUCUCUUCUUUGGCUCAUGGGAAAGCUUGUUUAAUCUUGUUCAAGCUAGUGUUUGGCUAUUCUUGUGUGCAUGUCUGAACAAAAUGUGUGCUACUUACUUGAGUUUCUCGAUUAAUUCAUUCUGUGUGAUGGGUUUGUAUUCCUUGUACUUCGUGAACUUGUAAUGUCAACUUCAUCUGCUGUUAAACUCUGUCAACUUGUAAUGGCUACUUGAGUGUUUGGCUAUCCUUGUGUGCAUGUCUGAAUAAAAUGUGUGCUACUUGAGUGAUGCGUUUGUAUUCCUUGUACUCCGUGAACUUGUAAUGUCAACUUCAUCUGAUGUUGCAUGAUUUCUGUUGCCAACUGAGCACUUGUUUUGUUACCACUGCUAUUACUCGUUCCCCUGCUACUCGUUCUCCUGCUUAGUUCCGUGAUGCAUCUUAUUUCAAACAAUCAAGUCGUCCUGUGAACAGUGAACCAAAAUUGUUUUGCAGUAGAAACAAGAAAUGCGGGUUAGCUCUAAAAAUCAUAUCUUGGCUGGUGCCUAUGCCACUUCUCUGUCGUCAAUUUGUCACAUACUUACAUGUCCUUUCAUUGUGAUGCGAUUACAUUUUUUUUGGGUGCAAUCAAUUUCUUCCGUUCUGUUCUAAAAAAAAUUCUUCUGUUCAUGGGACAAAUUUCCGUACAAAUUCGUGCAGCUAGAGAAGGCACGAGCCGUCAUUAGUCAAUACUUAGGUAGCUGCAGUUCUGAGCAUCUACUGAAAUUCUGUUCUCUUUGCAGCUACUCUGUUUUCUUCGAACCCUGCUUGAUUCAGUACCAACACAAGACAGCUAGCCGGAUCAUGUAGCGUGGUCGCUCUACUACAGAUGAACCUCUGAACAUUAAUUUCCUUUGUUUCUAUGCAUCAUGCAGUUGUUAAAACAAUAAGAAACCAACUAAUUUCAUCAUGUUUAUUCAACAAUAAGAAACCUAUGAACAUUGAUGGACUAGAAUGUUGAACACCAAGUUUGUGAAAAGAGUUAUUCUCAGAACUAGAGUUGGCAUGCAUGAAUCAAGGAAAAGAGCUGCUCCAGAGCUAUCUUGAAGCUUUCUCCUCCAAGUGCAGGGAGUAAUAGAACAGAGCAGAGAACAGCUGCACUGCAAAGGCUCCCUCUGCACUUCCAGGAAGACUGAUUGGACUGAGAAAACAUGUGGUUGGACUUUUGACUGAGGUGAACGAUUGUUGACUAGGAAGGCAUGAGGUUGGACAUCUCAUUCGACCCGCUAAAACAAGAAUUAUUGUUGACUAAGAAAACAUGAGGUUCGACCUCAGAUGGAAUUUGUCGGAUUCAAAGGGCACUACGGGGAACAGGUGCUUUGCCGUGUGCCCAGAAAAACCCUCGGCGGCACUCGGCACAAAAAGUGCCGGCAAAGUGUAUUUGUCGAGUGUUUUAUGUCGAACACUCGGCAAAACUUUAAAAAAACAAAUUCCCACCGCGGCCACCACGCCAGCCACCACUACCACCACGCCGCCACGCCCGCUGCCGCCCGCCACCACGCCUGCUACCGCCUGCCAUGGCCGCCGCCCACCACGCCGCCACAUCGGGCUGGGAGGGGAGGUGCCGCUGCCGGAUCCGGCCGGGAGAGGAGGGGCGUCGGGAGAAGUGGAGGGGUCGGCGGCCGGGGGAAGGAGGGGCGGCCAGGCCGCCACCGGAUCCGGCCAGGAGGGUCCGCGCCGCUGCCAGCGAGAAGGGGAGGGGGCGUCGUUGGGGGAAGAAGGGGCGGCCGGGCCGCCGCCGGAUCCGGUCGGGAGGGGCCGCACCACCGCCGGGGAGAAGGGAAGGGGGCAUCGCCGGGGGAUAGGAGGGGCGGCCGGGCCGCCGCCGGAUCCGGCCGGGAGGACCUGCGCCGCCGCCGGGGAGAAGGGGAUGGGGCGUCGCCAGGGGAAGGAGGAGCGCUGGGGAGAAGGCCGGAGGGGGCGGGGCGCGUGAAUGGGAGCUAAGGGGGCGGGGCGCGUGGGUGAGGCCGGGAGGGGGCGCUGGGUUAAUAAGUGCGGGAUUUUUUUGUUUGCUAAUGUCCUAGAUCUGGACACGGCAAAGGUUUUUUUUCAUUUUUUUUAUUCUCCUUUUCCAGAAAAAAAGUUUUUAUUUUUUUGCCGAGCAUAAAAAAUAAAAGACUCGGUAAACUCCCUUUUUGCCGAGUGUUUUUUUAACACUCGGCAAACCCCCUCUUUGCCGAGUGUUUUUUUCUGCUGAGUGUUUUCAGCGCAGCACUCGACAAAGAAAUUGUUCGCCGAGUGCCUGAGGAAAUACACUUGGCAAAUAUAAAAACACUCGGUAAAUUUUACGUUUUCGGUAGUGGGGCCACUUUCAUAUUUUCUCCAUUCUAAAGGAUUGGAGGCUUUGGUCAGUUUUGUAUUCAUUUCUCUGCAAAAGAAACGUACUUAGAUGCCUCCAAUGGUGUCCAUGCUUAGUUACAAUGACCUAACUGAAUCAAUUGAACGAUAGAUAGAGAAUAAUGUAAUUUUUUUAUCAGCCAGGACAAAAGGAACGACUUCUACUGAACUCACCACAGAACAAAGAGGCCAAGGCCUGGUGGCCUUAUCGUCACGCAUCUCGCUACUAAGUAGUGAUCACACACCAAAUAAAACUGUUGGAGCCUAAAAUUGGCAGCGCCGCCAAUCUGGCCCAAAAGCCGAUCUGGCAAGCGAAACCGGUCCGACCGGUUUGCCUCACCGGUCAGACUGGUCUGCCCUAAUCCGAAAAGAAAUUGAGAGUCCCGGUUGAAUUGGACUUGAAACGGGAUUUCUUGCGGGAAUAGACCUCCCACCCUAUAAAUAUAGAGGGUCCUGGCCGAUUGAGGGCUAACACCCAAUCGACAAACAUAUCUUUUACUUUUUAUCUCCAAACCCUAGCUUUUCCAACCCCUUGCUUCCCUCCUUCGUCUCGACGGCGGUUGAGGAAGCUCUGAGUGGCCUGACCGAUCUCAGAGCAACCCUAAGCGCACCAACUCCGAUGGGGUCCCUCCUGAGGCGGCAAUCUUAGGUUUUGGCCGACGCUCAGUAGCAGACCGGUCUGACGGCCUGCUAGACUAGUCUGAUCGGCCUCGUCCAGCGAGCAUCGACGAGGUGAUCAUUUCACACGCGCGACCUAGCGCAUUCGUGUGUUGACCCGAAAAGGCGUCAACACAUUUUGGCGACUCCGCUAGGGAAGAAGAUCUAGUUUUACAACCGUUCCAGAAACCCUAGCAUAAUGGGAUCUACUACGGACCUUGACAAGGACAACAUCAUCACGACCUCCGUGGAGGAUCUCAGUGAGGAGGAGCAGCGGAACCUUGCGAUGCUCCAAGAAUAUAUUAAGAUGCAAUAUCUCAUGGGCAUCAAGAAGGAUCAUAAGGGCAAGAUGACGAGAACGUAGGACUUUGAGUUGCUCGCGAUCAAGAUGAAGGAUAGAAUGGUCGAGGAAAUACGCAAUGUAAGUAAUCUCCCCUCUGACUAUACCGCCGUUAACGAUGAGCUUUGUAAAAGCCUUGCUGAUCAAAAUAGAAUCACUAAUACGUUAAUGGCUCAAAUAGAUCAACUUGCAGGGAAUAGAUCCGUUCUAGCGACAAAAACGAUUUUCUGCAAGUUGACUCACGUGGGGUCAUGCAAACUAGUUCAUCAGCAAGUAUGGGUGCCAUCCCUGGAUCACGUAUGGCAUGCCGUUGAACUUUUACUCAGGACAAACACCGCCUCGGACCCAGCCGCAACAGCCGAACACAGCUAAACCGGUCAGACCGGUCCAGGCGACCGAUCAAACCGGUCAGGCCUCCCAGGCCAGCCAGCUGGCCGUCAUUCCCGAGAUGCCCGUGCCGAUCGCCGUUGUGCCUAGCUCGGUCACCCCUUGCCGUGUUGGUGAUUAUGGGGUCCACCCAUCCUCGUUUAGCACAAUAGCUUACACGUCGCCUUCAAUUCCCCACAACAUUAUUGCAUCUAGAGGGGUCUCGAAUGACGUGUUUUCUGAUUUACACCGCAUUCAGAACGGCAACCCACUCAAUGUGAGCACUGUGAAUACUUCAGCCCAAGAGCAAUCAGAGAUACCCACCUUGCGCAAGAUUAGAAAAUUCAGGGAGGAGGUACUAGCUUUGAUGCAAAGCAAAUACGGCACAGACACUGGGAGUUUAAAAUUAUAUCAAAAGCCGUAUCAAGCUGAUUUUGACUAUGUUCCCUACCCGGUCAGUUGGCGCAUACCCAAUUUUGUUAAAUUCAGUAGCGAGGAUAACUGAACUACUUGGGAGCAUAUUAGUCAGUAUCUGGCUCAAUUAGGCGAAGCGGGUUACUAUAAUGCUUUACGUGUGCAUUUAUUUUCUUUAUCAUUAACUGGAAUUGCUUUCGCUUGGUACUCUUCUUUAGCUCCUGGCUCUAUUGAUUCGUCGGAACAAUUAGAGCAAAAAUUUCAUGAUCACUUUUACACCGGGAACUUUCAAUUGAAGUUGACAGACUUAACAUCGGUUAGGCAAGGUAAAGAAGAAUCUAUCUUUGAUUACGUAAGAUGAUUCAAGGAAACAAAAAACCGUUGUUUUAAUUUGUCGCUUACCGAUAGUGAUUUGGCCGACCUCGCGCUUAAGGGUUACCGAUAGUGAUAGAUCCUUCAUUAGAGAUUGGCUAGAAGGCUUUGAGAUUCACACUAUUGCGCAAGUGUUAAUGAAAGCUUCAACAAUGGAGCUUAGAAUUGCUAAAGAAAAGGAUAACUUCAAGUCACGUCGAUCUAAUAUGCACACCAUAGAGUAUGAUUCCGAUAGUUCGAACGACGAUGACAAUGAAGUUUACAUUACCAAAUUUGUUUGGACUUCUAAGGCUAAGUCUUACUCUUGUGCAUCACUUAAGCUGGCUCAAAAGAGUCGGUAGGAGGUAAAGUUUACUUUUGAUGUUUCUAAGUGUGAUCGCAUUUUUGAUGAAUUACUUAAGCUUGGACACUUGAAAAUAACUCAUACCAUGCCUCCACUUGAAGAACUGAAAAAGAAAGCAUAAUGUAAGUUUCAUAACAGUUUUUCUCAUGCUACUAAUGACUGCAAUGUGUUUCGUUGAUAGGUUCAAUCGGCUAUAAAUGAAGGCCGGUUGACUUUCCAUGAGAUGCAAGUGGACAAGACGUCAUUUCCUGUCAACAUGAUGGAUAUUCAGCAACCUAAGGUACUGGUUCGGCUGUACCAAGCCGAAGCAACUAAGGAGAAAAAUGUGGUAAUCGGGGAAGAAAAGCCCGAUUUAAGAGGCAAGGAGUUGAUAAGAGAAGUGGUGUAUGAGAAGACUCCUGAUGGCAGGGAGUCAUUCAAAAUUACUGUGAAAGCCUCUAGACACGGGGGGCAAACCUCGCACUCAGGACCUGGUCAGAAGCCGAUCGAGCCAGUCGGUCAGGCUGGACCAGUGAGACCGGUUCAGGACACCGGUCAGACUGAUCUGACACAGAACCAUCCUCAAAUGCUGAAACCCAAGUGUCCGGAGAUCGGGACCUAGAAGCUCAACUUGGCAAAGGAUCAGGGGAGCAGCCCCAGGGGAAAAAUCACAUUUGAUAUGCUUCUGUGCAAGUAUACCAAGGAAAAGGCCAUUCCGAGCAAUCGGCCGGUAAAGAAGAGAAUGAGGUCACCCGCUCACCAAGAAAGGCAAGGCUCACUGCCGAGAGCAGUUGUUAGAUAGAGGGGUGAUCAGGUAAAACAAAGGAGGCAUCCCUCCACAUCUUGGGCUCCUCAAGUGCCAAAUCCUUCGUGCCCAAUGUCGGAUGAUAAUGGGGUGAUGUGGGUGCCGUAUCAGUCUGUGCAAUAGCCACCUUUCCAUCCUGGAUGGGGAAACUCUAGAAAGUCAGCUUUAGAUAGAAUCUCGCACCCUGUGCACGGCCGGUGGGCUCCUCACCUAUCUGGCUAGGGUCAGCAGACCCGACUGGUCAGACCGGUCUGUCAAGGCACCACGCGUCUCUUCCCCUAGGAAAGUUUAUUGUCCCAAGAAAAGGGAAGGGGAAGUUCAGAAGGUAGAAGCAGACCCAAAGAAAGACAGAGAAGAAGCUGUCACACAGAUUGGGUCUAUGAAGGUUCCCAUUGAAGCUAAUACGGAAAGGCCGAUUGAUAUAAGCAAUCCGGUCUCAGCUCCUGUUCAGAAAAUAUCCACUGCCAAUGAUCAUGAAGCUAGCAACAGUGGAUCGAAUCCUAAAUACUUUUUACCUUAGUGGUGUCCUCCCGGGUUGACUCGCACGCAAAGGAGGAAGUUGCAGAGGCUCAGGUUGCAGGAGAAGAGGGAACAGGAGCUGGAGGAACAGAGGGAUGAGGCAUUCAACAGGUACAGACCCAUGGCACCUCAGAAGAAGGAGUGGAGAACAAAGGAUGAUGCCCAGGCUACACCGGUCAGACCAGUUGAGGAACCGGUCAGACCGGUCAGAGCGUCUGAGCCAGCUCCUGAACCGAUCAGACUGGUCUAGGAACCGGUCAGAUCGGUCCAUCAAAAACAUCACCCGUUUCUGCUCUUUCUGAUUCUAUGGUUGACGACAACGAGUUGGCAUCAGUCCAUGAGGCAGAGGAUGAUGAACAACUUGUUGAUUACAGUUCUUCUCCUGAGAGGAUGACGCUGGACAUAAAUGUGGUGGAUAUGUCAAUGGACGGGUAUGUGCUCUCAGAGGAGGAUAUGGCUCACCUAGACUUUGGGCCUAAGGAAGUGGUGUUCCAGAAGCCUAAGGACGCUGAGAACCAUCUAAAGGUGUUGUAUAUGUGAGGUCCAAUCAAUGGAAAGCCAAUUUCUCAGAUGUUGGUUGAUGGAGGGGCAAUUGAGACUUGAUGCCCUACUCUUUGUUCAAGAAAUUGGGAGGUUCAAAUGAGGAGCUAAUCAAGACCAACAUGACUAUCAACAGUGUGGGAGGAGGCAAGCCUAUGGGAGAGAAAGGCGUUGUCUCUAUGGAGCUCACCGUUGGGAGCAAGACGUUGGCUACUGCUUUCUUCAUCGUCGAAACCCAAGGUAACUUCAGUUUAAUCUUGGGUCGUGAUUGGAUACAUGCAAAUCAAUGCGUUCCUUCUACUUUACAUCAAUGCUUGAUUCAGUGGAUUGGUGAUGAAGUAGAGGUAGUUCAUGGUGAUACAUUGGCUUGUAUUGCUAUAGCCGAUAGUUUUACCGUAAGUACUCAUGAUAAUGUUAGGUGUUUGUCUGGCAUAGAUCUUUCUGAUUGUGAAUACAUUAGUUGCACAAAAGAUGGCUUUGUCGCUGCUGUAUUAAAGCCAAUUGAUGAUCGGCUAGCUUAUCGCAUUUGAUAUGACAGAUGUAAAUUUAGAAUGGUUGCAGCAGAGGCUAGAACACUAUCAAGCGCAGAAGAAUGAUAUGUGUGAGGCCAUUGAGGACCUUGAUGACAUGAGUAAAUUAGGACAAGGAUUCACAUCAGCCGAUCCUUUAGAGGAGGUGGAUAUUGGUGAUGGUAUUGUACUAAGGCCGACGUUUGUAAACAAAAAUCUUGAGCCUGCUCUUAAGGCCGAUUUAAUAAAAUUCUUAAAAGAGUAUGUCGACUGUUUUGCAUGGAAUUACACUGAAAUGCCCGGUUUAAGCCAUGAGCUAGUUGAGCAUCGGCUGCCUAUCAAGACUGGUUUUAGGCUACAUAAACAAUCUGCUAGGCGUUUUAAUCUUGUUAUUUAUGACCGAGUAAAAGAAGAAAUUAAUCGGUUGCUCAAUGCUAAGUUUAUUAGGCCUUGUCGAUAUGCUGAUUGGGUUUCUAAUAUUGUACCUGUUGAGAAGAAAGGUAUAGGCAAGCUCUGUGUAUGCAUUAAUUUAGAGAUCUUAAUAGAGCUUCGCUUAAAUAUGAAUAUCCUAUGCCUAUAGCCGAUGUACUUAUUAAUGUUGCAUCUAGUCACAAAAUGAUUAGCUUCCUUGAUGGCAAUGUUGGGUACAAUCAAAUCUUUAUGGCCGAAGAGGAUAUAUCCAAAAUGGCCUUUGUGUGUCCAGGCUUUGUCGGUUUGUUUGAGUGGAUUGUUAUGACAUUCGGGUUGAAAAAUGCUAGUGCUACUUAUCAAGGGCUAUGAAUUUAAUUUUUCAUGAUUUGCUUAGAGUAGUGCUGGAAGUAUAUAUCGAUGACAUUGUUGUAAAAUCGGCUGGGCCUGAAUCCCAUUUGGCUGAUUUGAGACUAGCAUUGGAAAUAAUGCAUCGGUAUGGUUUAAAGAUGAAUCCACUCAAAUGCGCUUUUGGUGUAUCGGCUGGGAAAUUCUUGGGGUUUGUAGUGCAUGAGAAAGGAGUUUAGAUUGAUCCUAAGAAGAUUGAAUUUAUCAAGAAACUACAAGCUCCAACCUGCAAAAAAGAGUUGCAAAAGUUCUUGGACAAGGUGAAUUACUUGAAGAGAUUUAUUUGUAACUUGUCCGGAAAGGUGAAUGCAUUUACUCCUUUACUUCGGUUAAAAGACGAAGUUGAUUUUACAUGGUACUCCUUUCAAACUUUAUAUAGCUACCGAAGCGGGUGUUAUUGGGGCUGUCUUAACUGAAGAAACUGAAGGAAAGGAGCACGUUGUUACUUAUGUAAGUAAGAGACUAUUGGAUGCCGAGACCAGGUAUACUUUUAUUGAAAAAUUGUGCUUAUCAUUAUAUCACGCUUGUACCAAGUUGAGGCAUUAUUUAUUAUCAAAUACUUGCAUAGUAGCUUGUCAAACCGACAUAAUUAAAUACAUGUUGCAAGAACCUAUUUUGAGUGGUAGAAUUAGCAAAUGGGCUUAUGCUCUCAUUGAAUAUGAUCUGGUUUGCGAACCAUUGAAAUCAAUGAAGGGUCAGGUUGUGGCCGAUUUUAUUGUUGAACAUAGAAUUAAUAAGCAACUUGAUUUGGAUGUCGGUUAUGUUACUUUUACCCCUUGGAAGUUGCACUUUGAUGGAUCGGUACGUAAAAGUGGUUGCGGUAUUGGUAUGGUGCUUAUUUCACCCAACGGGGCUGUUUUUGAGUUACUUAGCCGAUUGGAUCACAAGUGUACCAAUAAUCAAACUGAAUGUGAAGCAUUGUUAUUUGGUUUGGAAAUUUUGCAAGAGAUGGGGGUAAAUCAUGUUGAGGCUUAUGGUGAUUCUUUACUGGUGGUACAGCAAGUAUCCAAGGUAUGCCAAUGUUUAGACGGUUUUCUAAUGCUUAUCUUGAUAAAUGUCUAGGCAUCAUAUCUUGUAUGGACGAAUUUGUUAUUUAUCAUGUAGCAAGGGAAGAGAAUCCGAGGGCUAAUGCUCUGGCACAACAAGGGUCAGGUUACAACGUUCAUAAAAGAAAUUUUUAUGAAAGAAAAACGACGCUUUACGAAGCCGAGUGUUGCAGCCUGGAAGAACCGGUCCGACCGGCCUCCAAAACCGGUCUGACCGGUCUGUUUGGAGAAAACUCCGCUUCGGCCAUAAACCGUCCCGAAUUUGCUAAGGACAAAGUGGAUGAUUGGAGAACACCUCUGCUUAAUUAUUUGCGGGAUCCUAAGUGCUUGGUCGAUAGAAAAGUCUGACGGUGGGAGCUUAAGUUCACUUUGAUAGAGGGUGAGUUGUAUCGUCGAAUGGUCGAUGGGUUGUUGUUGAAAUGCUUAGAUUCCGAUCAAGCAAGGCUAGCUAUGGCAGAGGUGCAUGAAGGAGUUUGUGGUACGCAUCAAUUGGCUCGUAUGAUGAAAUGGCUCCUGAAGCGAGCUUGUUUCUAUUGGCCUAAUAUGAUAGCCGAUUGUUUUCGCUACUACAAAGGCUGUGAAGAGUGUCAAAGGUUCGGAGAUGUUCAGUUGGUGCCUGCUUCAUUAAUGCAUUCAAUUAUAAAGCUAUGGCCAUUUAGAGGAUGGGGAAUGGAUUUCGUCGGCAAGAUUCAUCCGUCUUCAUCAAAUGGACAUUGUUUUGUAAUUGUGGCCACUGAUUAUUUCACCAAGUGGACUGAAGCAAUUCCCCUUAAGAACAUGACACAUCGAGAGGUGAUUGAGUUUAUUAGUGAGCAUAUUACACACAGGUUACAGACAAGGGGACUUCAUUUAUAUCUAAAGAGAUGCGUGAGUUUGUGAAUCCUAUGAUAUUAAAUUGCUCAAUUCAUCUCCUUAUUAUGCUCAAGCCAAUGGUCAAGCCGAGUCUAGCAAUAAGAUAUUGAUCAAGCUCAUCAAGAAGAAGAUAGAGGAUAAUCCCAAGAGAUGGCUCGAGGUAUUAUCUGAAGCUUUAUGAACUCAUCGUAUUUCUAGACAUGGUGCGACUAAAGUUACUCCUUUCGAGCUUGUCUAUGGUCAAGAGGCCGUUUUGCCUGUUGAGGUGAAUCUGGUUGCAUAUAGGGUAGCUAACCAAAAUGAUCUCGAUUUUGACACCUAUUAUGCUUUGAUGAUGGAUAAUAUUGACGAGGUGACCGACAAGCGGAUGGAGGCCUUGGUAGAAAUAGAAAAGGACAAAAUUCAGGUGGCAAGGGCAUACAACAAGAAAGUUAAGGCCAAAACAUUUUAGGUAGGAGAUCUGAUUUGGAAGACAAUUCUACCUAUAGGAACCAAGAGCAAUAAAUUUGGAAAGUGGUCUCCAAGUUGGGAGGGCCCUUACAAGGUUACGACAGUGCUCCGAGGGAAUUCUUAUAUGGUGGAGACUCUGAAUGGAUUUCAACUACCAAGAGCUCUGAAUGGGAGGUACUUGAAGAAGUAUCAUUCGAGUCUUUGGCAAGAUGCUUAAAGGAAAUGGCCAGUAUUUUGACAUAUCGCCCUUAGGAGAAAAUGGCCAGUGGGAUUCAUCGGCCUCAGUUUAUUUCUUGGUACGCAAGCUUUACAAAGAAACAGGGGGCAUGUGUUGGAGCCCAAAAUUGGCAGUGCCGCCGAUCUGGCCCAAAAGGCGAUUUGGCAGGUGAAACUGGUUUGACCGGUUUGCUUGACCGGUCUGCCCUAAUCCGGAAGGAAAUUGAGAGUCCCGAUUGAAUUGGAGUUGAAAUGGGAUUUCUUGCGGGAAAAGACCUCCCAUCCUAUAAAUAUAGAGGGUCCUGGCCAAUUGAGGGCUAACACCCAAUCGACAAACAUAUCUUUUACUUUUUAUCUCUAAACCCUAGCUUUUCCAACCCUUUGCUUUCCUCCUCGUCUCGACGGUGGUUGAGGAAGCUCUGAGUGGCCUGAUCGAUCUCAGAGCAACUCUAGGCGCGCUACCUCCAACGGGGUCCCUCCUGAGGUGGCGAUCUUAGGUUUUCGUCGAUGCUCAGCAGCAGACCGGUUUGACCGGCCUCGUCUAGUGAGCAUCGACGAGGUGAUCGUUUCACACACGCGACCUAGCGCAUUGGUGUGUUGACCCAAAAAGGUGUCAACAAAAACCAAACACCCACGAAGGCAAGAGAUGUCAACAAAGAUGGCAUGCAUAUUUCCUUGAAUAUAUAUGACAUGGGACAAUUAAUUUACAUUUAUACUGCUAUGAGUUUUACUAAAAAACUGUUUGGAUCCAGAGCUAAACUUUAGUCGAUCAAGUAAACUUUAGUUCAUUAGCCCUCCAAACCUAACUAGCUAGUGGAGGCUAAUUUUAGACAUGAACGGCAAACGAAAGAAAAUACCCACCACUAAAAUCUUAACAUUUUGUCUCCUACAACCCCUAUGGAUAGAAUGGACAUUUCCUAAUAAAUGGGCUAAAAAUUAGCUCUACCUCCAAACAAGAUAGGGUUAUAUUUGCCAACUAAAGUUUGAUGUCUAAACUUUAGUUUUAGUCCAUCCAGACAGGCUGAUACCACCACCUUGAUUUGGGUUCCGAAGUAUAAUCUAGACAAAAUAAAAAUUUUAGCACCGGUCUUAUGUGUGUUUAUGAGGGGAAAAAAACAAAAGUUAUGUUUUUGAUACAAUGGUUUCAGAUCUCCAGGUUGAAGAUGAACUUAACUAGGCAAUAAUUUAGGGUGGCAAGUGAACUUGUGUAACUACCUUAAUAUAUGGUGCUUUUUUUAGGGGAAAAUAUGAAAGCCAAGGUAGUUGAUGUAUAGUGGAUAGAAUUAUUCUAGGUUGAAAAUGGGCAUCCUGUUUGGUUGAAAGGAAAAGCUAUUGAUAUAGUUGUUUCAAAAUUCUAGGUUCAUGAAUGGAUUAGUACAGAUUUUACAAUAUUUAUAAACAGGAUCCAGUUGGUGUGGCUAUGACUUACAUUUUGAAAUGAAGGGAGUAGAAUGCAAGAAGCAUAUGUACAAUCUAGAAGAGAAUUGGGUCUCUUUGGUACGGAACUAUGAUACAAGUAGCAAGAGACGUCCCGUAUGUGAUUUUGUUGUUGCACGAUUCAUGAAUGCAUGAUAGAAGUAGCAAGAGACGAUUCGUGAAGAUGCAUGGACCAGCAUCAUGAAACUGAGAACAUGAUGGAUCGAGGCGGCGGCGCGCGUGUUGAAUGUGUUCCGCCUGCAGGCCGCGACGAUGUGCUUGAGAACAGCACGCGUCACGUACAUACGCGUGGCAGUAGCUCGAUCAGCUCUGUCCCUGUUACGGCCGGGAAACUGGAAUUCCAUCUUAUAGAUUCGUCAAGGUCAUCGUGGCGUUUCUAGAUUCGUCAAGGUGGCGUUUCUAGAUUCGUUUCAUCUUUCACCAUGCAAUAGCACGCCCAGAGAGUGAAGAAUCAAAGCAUGUGGGACGACCCAUUCACAGUAGUAGUCAACGUGGAAUGAAUUAAUAACCGGCUGUGUUAUGGUGUGCACGAGUGGAAGAAAUUAGAAAGUCCGAUUGCAACGUUACUGCGUUACUUUUGUUACCUUUAAUGGACCUCAAAUCUGCAGCUUGAAGAACAGGGAAGGUCCGUGAAUGCAUCAAUGCAUGCGCCGGAGGAUAUCGGGAACAAGAUAUGCAUAUACGGGAGUUCUGGGAAAAUAAUAAUUACAUAAAAAUUACAAAAUUAUCCCUAGGGUCUGUUUGUUUGGGCUUUCCAGCAGCUUUCCACCCUAAGAAGUCGAAAGCUCGAACAAACGAUCAGCUUCUGGGCUGAGCUUUCCGAAAUCCAAAAUCUCACAGAAGCUAUGAUUCAUGGAAAACCCAGAAGCAGUGAAAUGUGAGCUUUCCGUAGCUUUUUACGUCAAGGUCGCGAAAAUUACCUACCCGCCAUCGUUUAUGUUGUGAACCGGUCAUUUUUCUUUCCUCAACUUUAUCUCCAUCUAUGUUGUCUCCCUCUCCUCCAGUGCACCGAGCCAUGACUGGUGCGCGCCCCUCUUCCUACUGGAGCAAACGGCCAUCACCACGACGAUCUCCGCGCCAAGCUGAAGCCCCACUCUUGCUCCUUGACGUCUCUCUAUCGUCGAAGCGCAGCCACCCAUAAAGGACCACUAGUAGAAAACUCGGCAUUAGUCCUAGUUGGUACGUCUCAAAUCUCUCUAAAAUUCAUCCGGAAUAAAAUUUUCGAGACAAAAGGAGGUCUUAAGUCCCAGAUCGUUCAACUGGGACUAAAGACCCCCUUUAGUCCCGGUUGGUGUUACCAACUGGGACUAAAAAGUUUUGGAAAAAAAACCAUGCCCGGCUGCCGGUGGCGUGCGCCGCUCGACCGCCGCCGACCCGGCCUCCGCCCGCGCCGAUCCCCCGCUCCGCCUCCGGCACCCCCGUGUCCGACCUCCGACUCCGCCUCCCCCACGUGCCGCAUCUGCACCCUGCCUCCCCGCGCCCGGCCUCCACCUCCGCCGCUCGUUGCUGCCCGCCCUCACCUUGCUGUCGCUCCUCACUGCCAGUGGGGAGCAAGCAGACGGGGAAGGGGAGGGGUAGCAAGAGGAGGGGGCGGCCACCCGUUCCGGAGGGAGAGGAGGAGGUGGAAGGAGAGGAGGAGGACGAGGAAGAAUAAAGGGAGAGGAGUAGAAGAAAUACUUGUGUGCUAGGAGAAGAUAAGGAGCUGUGCUGUUGGAGACCUAUGAGGAUAAUUAAUGUGGAGAGGGGGGGCGUGGGGAAGGAUGUUUUGUCACUGUUGGAGCCAUCAACCGGUACAAAAGACUCUCUUUUGUCCCAAUUGAUAAUUCCAACUGGGAAUAAAUCUUUUAUCCCGGUUGGAAUUACCAACCGAGACAAGGGGGGCGCGCCAGAUCUUUACAACCGAAACUAAAGCCCCUCCCGUCGAUGUCCUUUCGGUGCCUCAUUUUUUACCAGGGACUAAAGCCACUUUAGUCAUGGUCCAAAUAUUAAUCGAGACAAAAGAGGUGGAUAGAAGGUAAGUUCUUUACUAGUGGACCGCUCCAGACCAGAGCCAAGUGUCGCCGGAGCUCGCCUGGCUGAUUCACCAUGACCGUCGCCUGUCCGAGCCAGAAGAAGGCGUUGCAAGCUUCUUGAAGCCGAGCUGCACCUGCUCCGCUAGUUGAUGCCAUCGAUUCCCCCCUGGAGGAGCCCCGCCGCAUGAAGUUUGAGUCAGCCGCGGUCUUCACCGCCCGCCACCAAUUCCAGCCAUCUCUGUGAGCCUCCCACCUCGAUGAGCACUUCCACAAGAUCCCCUGUUACUCCUCUCCCCGAUGCGCCACCCAUCGGAACCGUAGGCCCCCUAAUCGCGCCCAGCCUGAUCGCCAUGGCCAUUAGAAGUCCCCAAGCUUUUUGCGAUUAUGUCCCUUGGUGAUCCUGUAAUAUUUAGAAACACUCCACCAUUUCAAAAGCUAGGCUGUCAAAUGGUGUUAGCUUUCCAAAAGUCAGCUUUCAGAAAGCCACCCUUCCAAGAAGCAAAAGCCAAAAGUCAGCUCUCUGGAAAGCUUGGAAAGCUAAAGCUCAAACAAACAGGGCCAAAUGGAUGGUCGUUAGAUCCGUAAAAGACUUGUUGAAUAAUUAUUGGGCUUACCUACGUGAUUAUAGUGCAGAAACCAACCUAGCAGGAAUGGAGUCAACAAUGACGUGUCCUGUGCAACACUGACGUGGCCAGGAAGACGCGGUCCAGUUGACGCAGCCAAGAUGGACCGUUACACGUUGAUCCAUUGUUAGCUAGCCCACUCACUUCACUAGCAGCAACCUCUAUAAAAGGAGAUCAAUACCGGAAUAGAGCAAUCUGCACAAGACCACAAGUAGUUAACUAAGCAUUGCAGCCAGUUAUUAGCAACUAGUGACUACUGAACAUCCAGCGUGUAGGAUGGCUGCAAGCAAGGCUAUUGUUGCUAACAAGGAGACCUGCGGCGCCUUUAAUUUGAACCUUGUUUAUGGGGCGACUUCUUUGUGAAUUGCACUCCUACCUCAUCACAGGCAUGAAUUUAUGAUUUUAUUGUAGUUGACAGCAUGUUAUAAUAUUUAGCUCUUUAGUUAUAUUGUAUUGUAUAACAAGCAGGGGUCGGAGGAGUGGAUGAGAGAGAGGAAGGAGCAACUCAAAGGGGAAGUGUGCCGAAAGUUUUAGGCUGGAAAAGCCAUGAACGUGGCCGACACGGUGAGGUUGGUGGACACGCUCGAACGCCUUGGUAUAGAUAACCCUUUCGUCAAGGAGGUUGAGAAGGCAAUAGACCGUGUCCAUGAUGAGGAGCUGGACUUUGGCAGCUCCAAUGACUUGCAUGUUGUUGCCCUCCGGUUUCGUCUUCAUAGGCAACAUGGCUUUUGGGUAUCUGCAGGUAAUAGAAAUCAGAAGCUAACAAAAGCUGAUCAGUUAUACUCGAUCAUUAUUCUUUCACAUGUUUCUCUGUUUUUCUCUUUUUUCUUGUUGCCACCUAUAACCUAUAUACGUUGAAAACUGUUUAUCAUACAAUUUUUUGUUAAGAUUUAAUUUGUGUAUAUACAUAUGUGCAUGCAGAUGUAUUCGACAAAUUUAGAGAUGACGACACCGGUAGUUUCAACAUAAAUCUAAGCAAUGACCUGAGGGGCCUACUUAGCUUGUACAAUGCUGCUCACAUGGCGGUACCUGGUGAGACGAUCUUAGAUGAUGCUAUCGUCUUCACUAGGCGCCAUCUUGAGGCUGCAAAAGGCAAGCUUACAUCUCCUAUAAAGGAACAAGUUUCCCAUGCCCUUGACAUUCCGCUCCCUCGUUUUAUGCGGCAACUAGAGACCAUGCAUUAUAUUACUGAGUAUGAGAAAGAAGAGCCACACGACAUCAUGAUGCUCGAGCUCGCAAAGAUUAACCUCAACCUUCUUAGGAGUGUCCACCUCAAGGAGCUUAAGGACCUCUCACUGUAAGUUGAUAUGUAUAUUAAUUAGUUCUUUCACCCUAUUUGUUCAUUGUUCAUUGUCCUCACUAACAAGGUGGGUCAACUAAUUCCAUGUGAAGAUGGUGGAGGGAUCUCUAUGACAGUGUGAAGCUAACCUACUGUCGGGACCGCAUCGUGGAGUCUUACUUCUACAGCUUUGGAGUGUUCCAUGGGGAGGAAAUCUCUGCUGCGCGGAUCAUACUUACCAAGGUGUUUGGGUUGUUGGUCCUGAUUGAUGACACAUUUGAUGUGCGCGCCACCUUUGAGGAGUCCCAAAUGUUAGAUGAUGCCUUACAAAGGUAGGAUAAUACCUCUAUUAUAUGCUUUUUGUAAAUGAACAAUCAAGUUUUAUCGUAUAGCUCACUUACAAAAAAAAUAACAAGGGACUCAAUAGCUGGAAUGUUGACUUGCGUAUGAAAAGAAUCUAAAAUCAUCAUUGUGAUUAUAUAUGUUAACGUUGUUUGCUGGUCGAAAUAAAGCAGUCAAACUAAUUAUUGUAUUUAUUUGUCAUAAUAAUAUGUAGAUGGGAUGAGAGCAUGGUUUCUCUUCUACCAGAGUACCUACGCAUGUUCUACAUCAAAACAUUGAGUAACUUCAAUGAAAUUGAGGAUACUUUGGAACCAUACGAGAAGUACCGCAUGGCUUAUGUCAAAAAAGAGGUACCUUGUUAUCUUAUAGUCAAAUAGUCAACUAACAGCUAUGAAACUUCUAUAGAAACAUAACAAACAUAAACUGUGGUUUAGGUCUCCUCUCAAUUUUAUUAAUCCCAACUUAUCUGGGUAAAAUGUUUUUUAUUGUGCAGUACCCGUUGCAAUCAAAAAAUUCCAUCCAACAGGCUAAAUGGUUCAAUGAAAACUGCACGCCCAGCUUCAAAGAGCAUCUAGACGUUUCACUUAUGGCGACGGGUUUGCCGUUGUUGUUCUUCACAGCUCUGAUGAGUGCAGGCCAAGUGAUAAACAAUGAGGCAUUCGAGUGGGCACUUGACAUGCCUGACAUGUUUUGUGCCAAUAUAGAAGUGGGUCGCUUCCUCAAUGACAUUGGUUCUUACAAGGCACUAUAUCGAGUUCAAAUAAUUGAUAGUCUAUCUAUUUUUAAAUAUUUGACGCCAUUACCUUUUCAUUCUUUUGACUAUUCAUCUUUUGUAUAAACAUAAACAUAUGAUGCACGAUUAAAUUAAAGCACUUUUGAUGAGAGGUCUAGUGUUGCUUAAUUAUUUCGCUUUACUUAAUGAAUUAAUUCGAUAACCAUUAUUGGUCAAAGUUUGAGAAAAAGUCACCUUAGAAUGUAUUUGGGUCAUGGAGGUAUCUAUAAGACCAUUGUUGUUAUUUUUAUUGAUAACAAAUAAUUAGAAAAACAAUGGACAGACAUGCAGUACAUUCCAAACCACUUUGACAUCACAAACAGCAAAAAAAUCUACUACUUGCUUGUAUUGCAUUGGAAAAAUAUGACAUCAUAAAGAGUACUAAUUAAAGGAUUUACUACCGGGUGGAGGCUUUACCCGGUACUAGAGGGUCACCUCUAAGUACCGGUUGGAGCCACCAACCGGUACUAGAGGACCUUUGCGGAAUCCCAAACUUGAAUCCGGUACUAAUGUCCCUCUAGUACCGAGUUCAAAUGGGACCGGUACUAAUGAUAGGGACGGGAGGUCAUAUUUCUAGUAGUGCCAGAUGGAUCUCUAUGUUACUACAUAUGCACACACCUAACAUCACAAAUACACGUAUCUUUGCGCGCAGCAAGGGAAGUGCGAGAAGGAUGUGGCCAGCACUGUGGAGUGCUACAUGAGGGAAUACGGCACGACUGGGGAAGAGGCGGUGGCAGCGAUCGCCGGGAUGGUGGAACAUGCAUGGAGGAGGAUAAACAAAGCUUGCAUGGAGGUGAAACCUGCAGUAGAGCCGGUAGUGCAAUGUUUGCUGAACACGACGAGGGUGCUAGAGGCCUACUACCUUCAUGGCAGGGACGGCCUCACCUACGGCCGUGACCUCAAGGAGCUGAUCACCUUCCUCUUCCUCAAGGACGUCAUGUCUAAAUUUGUUAUUUGCAUCUGUAGAACAUAUACUGUACUGCAUAUAUAUGCUUGUGUCGAGAAAAAAUAAGAAAACAAAUAAUAAACCAUUUUAAGGGUAAGUAAUUUAUUUUCUCUUAUUUAUAUUUUAUUUAUUUUAUUUUCGACACAUACUACUCCGUUCAAAAGACAAAUAUUAACCAAAAGAUUUAUGAUAACAAAAAAAAGAUAGCGAGUCUAUGAGAUGUCAUACUAGGGAUGCCGUAGCAUCUAUGAAAUGCACUACCCUAAAAUACCCUAAUAAAGAGAUUAUAUAAAAUAUACUUAAUUUAAACUAAAAAUAGGAUUAGAGCAUGAAAAAAAUAUUUGAGCUCAACUAGAGUAUUAUAAGAUCAAUUUAUAGCAUCGUGGUAAGGCCGGCCAAAUGAUUUCUCAAGGACAUGCCUACUGGUCAGAUCAAGAUGCUACAAAAGGACAUGAACAAUAGAAUGGAUAUGUAAGCAAAGCUCGCAAUGAUAAAUGAGGAACAAGGAUAAUCUGCAAAACAAGCUGGAGCAGGUGCACGCCAUAGAGAGGAACCAUAACAAUAAGGCAAGAAUAAUGACACGCUGAAGCCUAAGGCGAGGCGGAUAUUGGGGUACACCCAAACAAUAGGAAGAACGUUACAACAAGCGAGGAUAACGAUCGUUUCGGACAAAUGUUGCAGUAGCUAUCCUAUCAGUGAUUAAUGCCCUCCUGGGGGGGACGGUUCACCUCCCUUUAUAGGGCCAUAAAGUUACAUUUUCGUAUUCCCAUUAUACCCAUACUCAACCACUACAUCCUAAGAAUAUUCCGUACAGUACAGUAACUUGAUUCCUAUUCAAGAUGUCGCUUUCUCGGUAAAAUUACAUAUCCAACCUCUUACAAGAUUCUUAUUUCGGAGUCGUCCUGCUGUAAAGUGGUUCCCGGGCCGUCUUAAUUACCCUCUUCCUCAUUCAUAAGCUUCGUCGAGAUCGAUCGAGCUUCCGUAGACUUCCCGCCUUCUUUGGUCGAAGUCAGCUAACUUCGGCUUCUGGCCACAGAAUCUUCCCGAAGUCAAACCGCUGAGAGCUCCGUGGGGGGUUUAACUUCGCGAGUCCUUGCCUGCAAAACAACAGAGUGGACACCUUCAUGAUAGUUGACUUCAGUUAUAUACUAGCUUCGUAAAGGGGGAAGGUGAUGAGGUUAGGGUUGAUUAGGAGAGAGGGUCCCCGCCAGCGCCGUUCAGGGUGUGUUGUGGGGCAGUCCCCAACAGUAGCCCCUUCGUGGGCGAGGUCCGAGGCGCCAUCGACCGAUCCCAUGAAAAGUCCAAAAACGCCCUCAAAACGUCACCCUGAAGGGCGGCGCGGGCCAAGGCGUUUUACCGUUAUGUGAGGGUAGCAAGGUCAUUUCUUAUGUGGCGGUUAAUGGUUUGAGGCGGUUUUUACCAUGCCUAUAAAAGGUUUGCCGGGAGGGGCGGGCCAUAUUUUACGCUGUCGCUUUUGAGCUGCAUUUUUUGGCACCUUUUGCCUUCGCCGCGCAGCUUCGUUGUGCUUUAUUGGCUUCGUUUUCUUGGUGGGGUGUUGACUUCGUUUUCGUGGUAGUUAGCACCAGGCAGAGUUGCAGGCAAUGUCUUCGGAGGAGUUGGCCCUUCAGGUUGCCCCUGGUGGUGGAGGUAGCCAUGCUUCGCAGUCGGUGUCUGCGAGCAGUGGGGAAUCUGAGGGGAAGAGGUCAAAGAAGCGAAUCUAUACGAAGGAUGGUUUGGUUUCUGCUGAAGAGGGAUCUUCGGGGAGCAGUUUGCCUGAUUGGUCAUCUGAUGGGGGUGAAGGUGAAGGUGAAAUAGGCCAAGCCUCGAACGGUACAGGGGAAACCGAGGUUCAUGCUGUAUCCUCGGACGAGGAAGAAGGUAAGGGUGCCGACGAGGUUGAGGGGGAGGAGGAGGAUGCUGAGGUUGAGGUGAGGCCGGGGAAGGUUCCGUGCGUUCCUACUCUUUAUUUUGGGCGCUCCCAGGUGACUUCGCAAGACAUUACACUUUUUGAGGAGAGUAACUUUUUCCCUAAGGGGAUAGGGAGAUCCCCUGGGAACGAGGCAGUUCCGACACCUGAGGUCGGCGAAGCUGUUGUUUUUAUAGAUCUGUUUACUGUGGGGCUUCGGUUUCCCUGCAAUAGGCAGCUGCCGGUUAUAUUGGACCGCUAUCGCGUUAGGCUGCACCAGCUGACCCCCAAUGCCAUCGUGAACUUGUCUAAGUUCUAUUGGGUGCAACGCACGUUUGGUGGGAGCGUUGAUGUGGAGGGUUUCGCGAGGUUACAUGAGCUUCACAUUCAGAAGAAAAGGACUUAUUCUGAUGAUUUCAAGGGUGUUUGUGAAAAUCAUUUUGGAUGCUGUACCUUCAUGCCGCGUCGGAAGAACGAUAAGAGGAAUCUGCCGAGGGUAGAACUUACCUUCGCACAGAGGAACAAGUGGGAUGACGCGUGGCUGACGCAUUGGUUUUAUGUGAGAGUUGAAAUGGCUGGCCUCGGUACUGGAUUUCCAUUCUAUGCACAGUUUGGGGCGAUGGACGUGCUGACGACUCCUUCAUUUAUCCAGACAGCCAUUGUGACGAAGUGCAAAGCUGCCUAUAGGGUUGCUGGGCCCUUGAUAUCUAGGCGUGAUCUUGUGAAGGAGUACAUCGCCGCCCGAGCGUGGCCUUUGUCUGCUGAUUUUGCGAAGCCACUUAAGCUCGUUGAGAAGAAGGUUUCUUGGAGCGAGAAAGCUGUGCCGUUCCCUUGCUUCGAGCUUAACAAGGACGAGGUUGGCGACUUAGACCUGUUUGUACAGUCAGUGGAAGACAUGGCCUACGAGAUUUUGGGUCCGGUGACCCAGCCCGAAAGGCGCUCUUUCGAAUCUAUUGUGAGACACGGGCGGCGUGUCAAUUGGAUUUUUGAUUUUCUUGACAUCACAGUGCCACCUCAUCCCGAGGUUGUGGGCAAGAGGCGCCGUCGGGGUGCUGGUGCUGAGCAAAGGAAGAAGGUGAAAUUUGAUUCUGCUCGCAUGACGAAACUUGUUGUUGAGUCACAAGCAGCCGCGAAGGCGAAGCAAAAAACCCUUAACUUGGAAGCGUAGAAGAGGAAAGAUGCUACCGCGGGAGCUUCAUCUGCCGUGCUGCCGUCUGGGUCGAUGACUUCAUCUGUUGACCUGAGCAGGCCGGCCUAUGUUGUGCCUGUUUCCGUGCGUCCUCCUACUGAUGCGCCUUCGCCCGUAGGCCCUAGUGCUCGGACUAAAAAAGGGGCUAACAAGCCUCGUUUUGCACGCGUUAUUGUACUGGGUGCUAGUGCCGAUGCGCCUUCAGGGGCCAGCAGCAAGAUUGUACCUUCUUCCACAAGCUCAAGGCUCUUUUGGUUAAAACCGAGAGGCGUGAGGAGAGGGUAGCUGCCAAAAAGGCAAAGCUUGUGGACGCGUUUUCAUCUGAUCCUAAGGGUGCUAGUGCCGAGGCUGUUAGAUCUGGUAAGCAUGUAGAGGUGGUUUUGCUGAAGCUUCGGUUCUUUGAUUGCGGGAGGGCUUCGGCGUCCUUUUUGAGGGAUUUGGAGGCAACUAUGGGGGAGGUUGGCGAGGUUAGUUGUGAGGAUCAUGUAAGGCUGAAAGUUAAAUGUUAUGAUGUAGGUGAGAAAUUGUCGGCUGGUCUGCAAGGGCUUAACGAAGGUCUGGGCUUGAGCGAGCACACGGAAGUUCUAGCGACGUGUGCCGAAGGUAGGGUUUAUAAUCCACAUAACCUAAUUUUGGAUUGGGGGAAGGAGGGUGAGGAUUGCAAGCGCUAUGCAGAUGCUGGAGGUUCGAAGAAAGCGGAGAGAGCGGGUGCGGUGGCUUCGGGUAGGGGUAAAGAGAUUGUUCCGGUUGCCGUCAAGGCGCGGGGGUAUGAAGGUAAUAGCUGCUUGUGAGUGAUUAUUGUUUGUGGACUUCGUUGCUGUUGUGGUAUACUUAUGAUUGUAUGUUUGACUCACAGAUUUUCAGCAAUCUGUAAAGUCGAUGAGCUUGGAGGAGCUUUUGAAUUUGGAGGCCAACCUCGUAAAGAAAGUAUGGCUACUGGCCGAUUUGAUGAUACAUGUGAUGUGCACUACCUUUGUUGCAUCUGCUGUGACUUGAUUUAAUGUUUUUUGUUUCAAUUUUGCAGAUGUCUUACUCGUCUAUGAUUACAAGGGAUCGGCUUGCCAAGAGCGAGAAGUCGGCUGCGGAACUUGCGAAGAAAGUGGCUUCACUUGAAGCGACUAUUGCAGCUAUGUCCCUGGAAAUGAAGAAGGUCAAGGUCGAGAAUACGGAGUUGAAAGAGGACUCUCGCAGACUUGACAAAAAUUACGAGGCUAGGGGCGACGAACUCGAACGCUUGUCAUCACAAGUGGUGGAUCUUGAGAUGCUUGUUAAGGAGAAAGACAAGGUUAUCCAUGACUUGCGUGAAGGCGCCUAGCGGGACAGUGAGGUUUUCUUGGGCUUAAAAGCUAAGGUUGGCCAGAUGGAGCCUGAGUUAGAAACAAGGGCAAAGCUGUUGAGCCAGAUAGAAACUACACUAAGGGAGAGGUUCGAAAAAGUUCAUGAAGCUUAUAAAGCCUCCCUUGGUGUGUUUGGCGUUGAACCCGAUGAUUGCCCACUGGACGAAGGAUGUGAGCGCAUGUUCGAAUGGUUGCUAGACGAGGUCAAGAGUCUCCUCGAGGUUCUUGAGGGCCUGAACGACUACUCCGCCGUGUUCUGCCUAGAAAGCGCCCUUCACUUGCUGGAGCAACAAGGAUGCGAUCAUAUUAAAAAUAUUUCCGAGGACAGUUAUGUUGCGCCAGCUGCCCAAGAUAUUGGAUGCGCCACAAAGUCUUUUGUUGUGGAGAAUGCGAAGAAGAAUUUAUUCGAGCGCAUGUGGUCAUCCUCCGGGCAGAAAUACGUGAAGAGGUUGGCUUGCGAGCGAUUAGCUCAGCUUCGUUCGCAGCCUAGUGCUACUAAUGAAGAGGGGGAUGCUGCGGAGUAGAUGGUUUAUUCAUAGACUCGUUUUUGUUUUUUGUUUUUAUGUAAAGGUGACGAGGUCAAAUACUUUUGAUUGUGUACGAAGUUAUGCCUUAUGAAAUACUCAUGUGCCUGUGCAUUUUGGUAAAACUGAUGUGGUUUAGUUGCGCUUAUUCGUGGGCUAACUGAAAGUUUAGAUAAGUCGAAGCUGGGUUGCCAUGUGGGGCAACCCGCUGACUUAGUUGUUGCGAGAGCUGGUUGAUACAGCGACUUGCGGUCGCUUCAACCAUAAUUGUACGCGUCGCUGGAUUUACGCUGGUUGACCUCGUGCGAGGUUGGUGUGGUAACUUGUUUUUGGAAGUGGACGUGUUUGGAAGUAUUUUCGAAAAAUGUCACCCCCCCUUUUGUGACAUUGCGAGAGAGAGGUUAGAUAACUUGUGCUUGAGGACUCUCCUCUUGCGAGGUUGCAGAGACUUUCCACGUUCUUUCGAAAAAACAUCGUUGGACCUCUGCCGAGGCUGUAUACGAGAGGCUUGUUUUUUGCAUGUUGGAAUGCGAUUUUACACAACUUGUUGUUUGCUUCUCAAACGAAAUGAAACGAAAAACUCCUCCGCGCACCGGCGUGAGGUCACGCAACUUGCUGUUGCUUUUUCAAACGGGAGACUCCUCCGCGCACUGGCGCGAGGUUACGCAACUUGUUGUUGCUUCUCAAACGAAAAACUCCUCCGCGCACUAGCGCGAGGUUACGCAACUUGUUGUUGCUUUCUUACACGAAAAACUCCUCCGCGUACUGGCGCGAGGUCAUGCAACUUGUUGUUGCUUUUUCAAACGAGAGACUCCUCCGCGCACUAGCGCGAGGUUACGCAAUUUGUUGUUGCUUCUCAAACGAAAAACUCCUCCGCGCACUAGCGCGAGGUUACGCAACUUGUUGCUUUCUUACAUGGAAAACUCCUCCGUGUACCUGCGCGAGGUCACGCAACUUGUUGUUGCUUUUUCAAACGAGAGACUCCUCCGCGCACACGUGACUUGUUGUUGCUUUUUCAAAUGAGAGACUCCUCUGCGCGCUGGCGCGAGGUUACGCAACUUGUUGUUGCUUCUCAAACGAAAAGCAUUCUUAGGGGAAAUCUUUUUUCUUUCUUUGUAGAAAAGGUGUACAUGGAUCUGCCUCAUUAAAAAUCUUGCCUCCGUUAUGGAGCCCCUAGCAAGGAAAAGAGUGCAGACCAGACCCUAUGACCUUACAAACGAGGUAAGCUUAAAAGAGAAAGAAAAGGGUAAAAUCACUUUGUUGCCUUCGGCGCUGCUUAUAGUUCCGCAGGCCGGAGGUAACGUGUACAAUUAUGGGUAAUAUCUUCAUAGACUGUCGAUGUUCCAGGUGUGUGGGAGAGCGUUUCCUUGUUGGUUUGUGAGAUGGAAGGAGCCGGGUCUGCCACUCUUUGCGACAAUGUAGGGGCCUUCCCAGGCCUCUUGCAGUUUGCCUGGGUUUUCCCAAUUCUUCUUCCUUUUGAUGACGAGGUCACCGACAUUGAUCUGUCUUUCUCGAAUGCGUUGAUCCUUCCAUCUUCGGGUUUCCUCUUGGUAUUUGUCCAGGUUUUCAAUGGCCUCGUUAAUGUCAAGCUCGAUCAUGUCUUUCUCUAUUCUGGCGAUUUCGUCGACGUCGCCGUGCUUGAGGACUCUUAGGCUCUUGUUUUUUAUUUCUUUAGGUGUUACAGCUUCGGCUCCGAAUAAGAGCUUGAAUGGGGUGAAGCCUGUUGCUCUGGAUUGGGUUUUUUAUGGGACCAUAUGACUCUUGGGAGCUCAUCGACCCAUUUUCCCUUUUUCUGAUCGAAGAGACAUUUCUUGACUGCUGUAAAUAUCAUGAUGUUGGCCCUUUCCACAGCUCCGUUUGAUUAUGGGUGGUAUACGGACGAGAAUUUUAUCUUUGUGCCUAUGCUGGCGCAAAAGUUCGUGAACGAAAUGCAAUCAAACUGCUUGCCGUUGUCGACGGUUAGCUCCCUUGGGACUCCGAACCGACAGACAAUGUUUUGCCAGAAAAUUUUUUGCACCGAAGCUGAUGUGAUGACGGCAAGUGGCUUGGCUUCGGCCCAUUUAGUGAAGUAGUCUAUUGCCACCACCGCGAAUCUGCAAUUUCCUUGUACUGCUGGAAGUGGACCAACUAGGUCCAUCCCCCAUCUCUGGAGAGGCCACGAGGGUGGUAUGAGCUGGAUGGGGAGUGAGGGUGUAUGUGUUUGCCUUGCUGUUUUUUGGCAUGCUUCAUAGCUUCGUACAAGUAGAUGUGCGUCCGUGUGGAUUGAUGGCCAGUAGAACCCUUGUCGGAUUGCUUUUCCUGCCAGGGCUCUUGAACCAAUGUGAGCUCCACAGAAGCCGCCGUGUAUUUCUUUGAGCAGUUCGCUGCCUGUUUCAUAGUCGACGCACCGAAGCCAUGGUGUUGAGAGGCCUGUUUUGUAUAGCUGCCCCUCAAUGAUUGCGUAGCCCCUUGCUCUUUGCUUUAGGCGUGUGCAUUCAGCUUCGUUCUGAGGUUCAAAGUGAUCUCUAAGGAAAGCCAUUAUGCUUGCGUGCCAGUCGUAAUGCUGGAUGGCAUUGAUGGUAGCUAGAUCUUCUUCUUUGACUGAGGGUGAAGUUAUGACUUCGUAGAAUGUAUCUGGUGGAAUUGGCUCGCCUUCCGCUGCUGCCUUUGCGAGCUUGUCGGCAUCAUCAUUUUGUGCUCUCGGUAUGUUUCUGACAUCAAAUCCCUUGAAAUGUUUUUCCAUGGCUCGGACUGCCUGGAGGUAUUUGAUGAGUUCUGGUUCUUUGGCUUCGCUAUCCUCUCGAUGUGAUCACGGGAUAUCUUCGAGUCCGUUCUGAUGAUAAAUGUUUGCUGCCCUAUGGCUUCCAUUUUUCUUAAAGCCAGGAGCAGCCCCUCGUACUCUGUGGUGUUGUUGGUUGACUUCGCAGUUGGUGGGAAGUCCAGCCUCGCUGCGUACUUGAUUCUGACGCCUGUUGGCAAGGUCACCACCGCUGCGCCACCUGCUCCUCUACGGCACCAUGCUCCGUCACAGUGGACGACCCAUGGCGUUUCUAGCUGCUUUGGUUCUUGCUUAGGUGAGGUCCAAUCAACGACGAAGUCGGCCAGCACUUGGAAUUUUAUAGCCGUGCGCCUUUCAAAAUCGACGACAAACUCCGAGAGCUCAGACGCCCAUUUGGCGAUGUGGCUAGAAGCUUCUCUUUUUGAGAAGAGAUCAUGGAGAGGUUGUCUGAUUACCAUGACUAUUUUAUGCCCCUCAAAGUAAUGUCGUAGCCUCUGUGCUGCCAUGACAACCGCAUAUGCGAUUUUUUCUAGUUCAGAGUAGUGCAUCUUUGAACCGCUCAAUGCUUCGGAUGCGAAGUACACUGGUAUCUAUUUGAUUUUGCCUUCGAUUUCUUUCUCUUGGAUCAACGCAGCGCUGACAGCUGUUGCUAAGGCUGAUACGUACAGCAGCAGUGGUGACUUGGGCUCUGGUGGGCAUAGCUUCGUCAUGGAAUGCAGGUACUCCUUGAGGUCCUGGAAUGCUUUGCUUUGCUCGUAUCCCCAUUCAAAUGUUUUGGAGCUUCGGAGUGCUUUGAAGAAAGGAAGGCUUCGCUCUGCUGCUCUCGGAAUGAAGCGGUUUAGCGUUGCGACCCUGCCUGUAAGCCGUCGUACCUGCUUGAGUGAUGUUGGCUCUGACAUGUUGGCUAGCGCUCUGAUUUUGUCUGGGUUGGCCUCAAUGCCCUUCGUCGUUACCAAGCAACCUAAGAUCUUUCCCCUUUGGACUCCGAAUACACAUUUGUCUGGGUUUAACUUUAGGUUGGCUGACCUCAGGUUAGCGAAUGUUUCUAUGAGGUCCAUGAUGUGGUCGCUUCGUUUGGCGCUUUUUACGAUGAUGUUGUCUACAUAGGCCAAGAUAUUGCACCGAAGCUGACUGUCCAAGACUGUUACCGUCAUUCUUGAGAAUGUUUGGCCUGCGUUUUUUAGCCCUCUGGCAUACGGACGAAGCAGAAUGUUCCAAAGGGUGUCACGAAGCUUGUUUUGCCUUUGUCCUCUUUUUGAUUCUGAUCUGGUGGUACCCUGAGAAGAGGUCAAGUAGCGAGAGCAUUUCGCUGUUUGCAGCGUCAUCUACCACCUUAUUAAUUCUUUCGAGAGGGUAGUCAUCUUUUGGGCAGGCCUUGUUGAGGUAUGUGAAGUCUAUGCAUAUUCUCCAUUUUCCAUUUUUCUUUUUGACUGGUACUGUGUUGGCUAGCCAGUCGGGGUACUGGAUUGGCCUGAUUAUGUUAGCUUCGAGUAGCCUAUCAACUUCGGCCUUUACUGCUUGGACUUUCUCGUAGGACAUUUUUCUUAGCUUCUAUUUCAUUGGCCGAGCUCCUUGUCUGAUGUCGAGGCUGUGCUCAAUGAUUUCCCUGUCCACUCCCUUUAGAUCACCUGCGGACCAAGCGAAGAUGUCUUUGUUCUUGUUGAGGCACUCGACGAGGUCACGCUCUUCAUCUGGGUUGAGAUUCGCCCCAAUUGUUAUGAAUCUGUCUGCGAUGUAUCUGUCUAGGAGUACCCGCUUUGUUUCGCCGUCCACACUGAUUUUUAUCUUCUCUUUAUCUCUCUUAGGCUCGUUGUGGGCCUUUUGCUUUGCUAGGCUUUCGGCUUCGUUUGAUGAGGCUAGAUGGUGGACAUUCUUUUGGCCCGGGGCUACCCCUUUUUCUAUGUUCCUUGUCAUUUGCUGAUCACCGUAGACCGUUAUGACCCCUUUGAGGGCGGGUAUUUUCAUGCAUAGGUAUAGCUGUCUGAUUGUUGCGUCCAUUUUGGUGAUGAAGUCACGGCCGAGUAUUGCGUUGUAGGGGUAAUGCAUCUCUACCACGUCGAAGGUGAUGUGUUCUGUCCUCGCAUUAUCACGGUCCCCGAACGAAACUGGGAGGGCAAUUUUUCCCAAGGCCUUCACUGGCUUUCCCCCGAAGCCGAGAAGCGGGACGUCAGCUGGGUCGAGCGUGUUCAUGUCAAUGUUCAUCUCUCUAAAUGCAUUUGCGAAGAGAAUGUCCGCGGAGCUGCCUGUGUCUACUAGGACUUUUCCUACUGUCCAGCCUGCUAUCAAUGCUUUGAUAACCAUCGCAUCGUUAUGCGAGGUUGUCUUGAGCUUGAAAUCCUCCCCGGUGAAGGUUAUGAGCAUGUGUGCCCAUUCUGGCUUUGUUGGAGGUCCGUCGGGAAUGAUCACGUUGACCUCUCUGAAGUAGUUCCGCCUCUGCCUCUUGUUUUCGAACUCUAGUGAGGAGCCUCCGGGGAUUGGCAUUAUCAUUCCGAAGGUAGGUAAGGAGUUUUGGUUAUUGUUUUGUGUGUUGGGUUCCGGCUUGGGCAUUAUGGCUGGCAUGCUUGGGGGUGGGGGUAGUGUUUCUUGGGGCUUUUGAGACGGGUUUGAAUUGGGGUGCUGUGGAAUUGUUUGGUGGUAGGGCUGUAUGUGUGGUGGAAGAGGCCAAGUCAUCGGUUGUGGGAAGUUGGCGAAGCUGGGCUAGUUGUGGUAGAAGCUUGGGUGUGCGUAAAAAGCUGUGUGGUGGAUUGUUUUGGGCGCCUGCGCGUCUGCCUUCGCAGCUUCUUCCGCAGCUUUUCUCUCCUCCUUCUUUUUGGGGCACCACUCUGUGUUGUGAUGAUUCUGAUGGCCAUGGUUGACACAGUAAAAUGACUUUUGUUGUCUUCCUCGACCUCGUCCUCUGCCAGAGUGGCCCCCUCUUUGGGUGUUAUUGUUUUGGUUUUGGCUCUGGUUUUGGUUUUGGUUUCCCUCGAUGUUCAUGAUACGGUUUUUGUUUUUGUUUGGGUUUUGAGGCUUGUUGUAAGGCGAAGGUUGCCAGCUUCGGUUUUGGUUUGUUUGUCUCUCUUUGUUGCAUUCCGCCACUCUUCUGUGGUGGUCCUCAUCGGACCUGAUGUAUUCAUCGAGUUUGCUGAAGAGGGCAGUCAUAGUUUUAGGCUCCUUCCUUGACAGUUUUGACGCUGUUGGGCCGGGGGUUAGGCCCGCGAUGCAAGCGGAUAUUGCUACAGAUUCCUCAAUGUGCGGUGCUUGAGAACGAAGUUGGACGUAUCUUCUUACAUACUCUGCAAGUGGUUCCUUGUCCUUUUGCUUGCACUGAAAGAGGUCUGCCUGGGCCGUGUGAGGGUGAUGGAAACCCUGGAAAUUUUGAGUGACCUUCGUCUUGAGAUCGUGCCAGCUGGUCACCGUGUGUGGAAGGAGUAGUGAAUACCAGUUCAACGCCGCACCCUCACAAGCAAUUAUGAAAGAUUUGGCGAGGACGACGUCAUUCCCCCCGGCCGAAGCUACAGCGGCUUCGUAACUCAUUAAGAAUUGCCGUGGGUCUGUGCGCCCGUUGAAUUUGGGCAAGGUGGUUGGUUUGUAAGUUGUUGGCCAUGGUACAGUUUGUAGCCCUAUUGAGAGCGGCGAUGUUGUGUCGACCACAAGGGACACCCCCGGCGAGUGGUGCUGGGUGCCUUGGCUGAAGUUGGGGCUGGGCUGGAGCUGUGCCUGAUCGACAGUGGGACUUUGAUAAAAAUAAGCUGCGGCCUGGUUUGCAUUCUCGAGUGGGCUUUCAAGCUCCGCGACUUCUUUCUGUAGUGCUUCUAGCUGCCGCCUGGCCUCGUUCAGCUUUGAUAAUCUGGCCGCAGCCUCCCUCUGGUGUUGCACUUGUCAUGCCAACUGCUCCUUUUUUCUUUUGACCUCUUCUAUCUCUCGGAGGACUGAGUCCAGUUCGUUGUCCAGGAUGGAAGGGCCAGUAGCUUUGGGUGUUGUGGGCUGGUGGCCAUCAGUGCGGUUAGCAGCUUCAUUUGCCACAGGUUGGUGGCUUUGGUGGUUGACUUCGGCUGCGGGCUGGUUGCUCAUGGCCUUAGCCCUUAGGGCUUGUUCGACUCUUGCAAGGCAUUCCUCCUUGUCGAGGAGGACUUGAUAUGUGACUUCGGGGGCCGUGAGCUGAUUGGCCUCGUCUGUGUUGUCUUCUCUCUGAGCUGUGGGUCUUUUUUUUUCCGUUGUGGUGGCAUCGUGGGCUGUUUAACGAGUUAGACCACGGUGGGCGCUAAAUGUUGGGGUACACCCAAACAAUAGGAAGAACGUUACAACAAGCGAGGAUAACGAUCGUUUCGGACAAACGUUGCAGUAGCUAUCCUAUCAGUGAUUAAUGCCCUCCUGGGGGGGACGGUUCACCUCCCUUUAUAGGGCCAUAAAGUUACAUUUCCGUAUUCCCGUUAUACCCAUACUCAACCACUACAUCCUAAGAAUAUUCCGUACAGUACAGUAACUUGAUUCCUAUUCAAGAUGUCGCUUUCUCGGUAAAAUUACAUAUCCAACCUCUUACAAGAUUCUUAUUUCGGUGUCGUCCUGCUGUAAAGUGGUUCCCGAGCCGUCUUAAUUACCCUCUUCCUCAUUCAUAAGCUUCGUCGAGACCGAUCGAGCUUCCGUAGACUUCCCACCUUCUUUGGUCGAAGUCAGCUAACUUCGGCUUCUGGCCACAGAAUCUUCCCGAAGUCAAACCGCUGAGAGCUCCGUGGGGGGUUUAACUUCGCGAGUCCUUGCCUGCAAAACAACAGAGUGGACACCUUCGUGAUAGUUGACUUCAGUUAUAUACUAGCUUCGUAAAGGGGGAAGGUGAUGAGGUUAGGGUUGAUUAGGAGAGAGGGUCCCCGCCAGCGCCGUUCAGGGUGUGUUGUGGGGCGGUCCCCAACAGCGGAAAGCACAAAAUAAGACACUACUACAAGGUAUGAGGGCUAAGGUAAACAUAGCCGAAAGAGCCUGUGUCAAGUUUGAGGGAGGGGUCUAGAUCCAUUCCGGACAAAAAAAAUUCUAUUAGAAUAUCAAUGUGCAUGGAGAGGUUUAGUUUGGUGAUGUCGAUGGACUACAUAUGCACGGAGAUAAUGAUCAUUAGCGAGGAAAUUGGCUUGCUCAAGGCGUAGAAAAAGAAGAUGGUGCAUUAGUGUAGUUGCUGAGAAUGACAGUGGGAGUAUAUCAAAUAAAAAAACCUACACAAAAACUGGAUUAUACGUGAUAAAAAAUUUAGUAGGAGAGCAUCAAGCCGGUCCAGUUCAAGAUGUCCAUCGGCUUUAGAUUCUGAGCUAAACACACUAAAAAGUGACCACUAUGAUAUCAAAUAGUAUAGUCCAUGGAUCAGAUGUGCACCAAGAUCUUGAUCAUCAAAGAGAAAAUUGGUUUGCUCAAGGCACAAGAAAGAAGAGGGUACAAUGAUGUACUUCACCACUAUGAGAAAAAUAAGACAGAAGUCUAGAGAGAAAAAGUUGCAUGUUAUUAUUACCAAUUAGUAUGAUGGAUGAAACCAUAUUGGCCGCGCUAUUAGCACAAUAGAGCCACCUUGCUAGUUAUAUUAAUAAGGGAGUGUUAAAAGAAGUCACCAUGUUCGCUGAGAGAGUCUAGAAAUUUUCACGUUAAUCCAAAAAAAGAAAAGAAUAUGCACCGUUGAAUUUUAUGAAGAUCUAAUGGCCUAGAUUAAUCCAAAAAAAUCAUGUCAAAUACAAUUAAAAGUAUUAUAUUACUACUAGAAAGGGAAAUUAGUAAAAAAUAUAAUAAGAUAUAAAAAGGAAAGAAUAUGCAAGUAAUAAGAUACGCAACUCUAUACUUAUUUCUCAUGUACAUCAACGAGACAGCGACCAGAUGUAGCAAAAAACGAAAAUUAGCACUUGGUGGUGUUUUUCUUUUUAUAAGGAAACAAUAGAGAGACAAAUGCCACCUGACCUGAUUAUUCAUUGCAGGAAUCUUGUCUAUCAUCGCAACCUCCAUUUUUUGAGAUAAAGCAUGGAGAAAAGAGGUAUACGUGAAAGUAAAUUGUGAAGUAAUACAUUUAUUUAUUUUAUACAAUACAAUCUUUAUCGGUUACUAACUUCUAUUCUUUUGAAGUGAUACUAAUUAUCAUUUAGAGUUAUAUACUUCAUCACAGAGGCAAUAUAUUAAGGGAUUUUUUGUCCGCAGCACACCACGCCAAAUGACCAUAGUAUGAUUUUGUGAGCAGCACAUCUCACUCAUCGAUUUAGUCUAUGAGACGUUGCCAAAACAGGUAUUUGUGUGCAGCACAUCGUCUCCAUUAAACAAAACUUUUUUCUAGCUGAAAUCACAUAGCGCCCAGUAAAAUGACCAAAAAGACCUUAGAGUGGGUCCCAUUGUCAUCCCCGACCAUCUCAUUCACCCUCCGUCUCUCUCUCUGUGCUCAUUCUUCUCACCUUAGCGCGGGCUGUGCUGGCUCUUCUUGGUCGCCUAUUACGACUGGCCGGCACAGCAGCACCGGCGCCAUGGCAUGUCUGGCUGCACGCCCGUGGUGGCAGGAGAUGAGCUGCGGCUUUUGCUGCUGGUGUGGCGGCGCCGCCGGCUGUCACCUUAGCUCAUGCUGAAGUCGUGCACGGCCGCCCAACGACUCCUACGAAUCGAAAUCGCUGGUGCCAGCUUAUCCUGCGGCUGUAGCAGCCCGCAUAUUCUGUUGGAGCUUCGAUCGCGAUGUCGCAUACGUCGUCUGCAGUGCUAGCCAACUAGCAUACGUCACAUUUUUUAGGCCUAUUUAGAAGCGAGGAGGAGCCCAGCACGACUUCAUCCUAGCAGUUACAAACCAGUUACAUAGAAAUACAAGUCUUCAUCUAUAUUUGAAAGGGGCAAAUUAUCAACUAGCAGUUUGGGGAAUUCACAGAGUAGAGCGAAACAAUCUGUUUGCCCGUGGAUCACAUGUUUGGGCAAAUUGGUGAUCGCAUUGCACAACUAGCUGCUCUAAUUUAUCCAAGGCUACAACACAACUAAAAUUUAUGGAAAGAGCAGAUAGCAGCGACCGGUGAGCAGCAGGAGGCCUAGUCUGACAACGGCGAGGACGUAGCGAGGAGAGGACGAGUGGCUCAUUUAGUAGCCCAGCAGCGUAGUACACUGGCGGGGAUGACGAUGAAAACGCCCAAGACGAGAUCCGCCAUUGCCGUCAUCCACCACCCUGUGUCACCGACGGCGUCUGACGAUCGAGAUCCCCCACUCAUGACUCAAUACAGGAAUCGCGGGCGUCGGAGGGAUACCGGGAUUCGCCAACAUGGCUCAGUUAGGCCUUCUCUCGUCGAUAGCAAAGCGAAGGCAGAAAAGAAGGUUCUUUGCUUGUUGCUGUGCAGUUGGUAUCUACAUUCUUUUCCUAAAGCUGGAGCGAUUCUUCAUUUCUUCUCUGUUUCCGAAUAAACUUUGCGUGUCAUCCACGCGAUUCUUUGCUCCCCUGACAAAAUGUGGCCCUUCGUCUCUUUCCCCUACCGACAAGGAAAGCCAAAACAAACAGAGUAGCAGAGUAGCAGAUCAUCCUGGCUGCGCGAGAAGAGGUGCAUUCCUUCGUCCAUUUUAGUUGGUUGUUAGAGGGAAUGAGGGAGGCAUUUCAUUCUGCUGUCUCACUUUAUGCUACACUGCAUUUGCAGGCGUAUAUCAGUGAGAACUCUUUCUGAUCUAUUGGCUCUGGCUGCUGCUUGAAGUAAUUUUUACUCUCCAUCUCAAGGAAGAACAAGGUCAUCCUCAUCAUUCUGUAAAUACAAGAGGCUCUAAAAUUCGAAAUUUGCUUGAUUAUGAUUUGUCCACAAACACUUCCCACCCAAACAGACCAUUAAACUUGAUGCAGUAAUCUUUUAUUAUAUUGAGACUGAACAUCCUAUUUCUUAUUCUUGAUUCAAUCACCCCCUUCUAAUCAUUAUCCAUCAUUUUCUCCUUUAUAGCAGAGAUCUUGGGCCUUAUAAUUCUUUCGUGGUGAUGGGCUCAUCAUAAUUAUCUGUUUUCCAUUUCAUUAUAGUGAAUUUCUUGAAGUGAUAAAUAUUCAUCACUCUCCUUGUGCAAUUGGUAGCAUACUACAGUGAGGAAAAGCAGAGGAGGAUGCUGAGGCAAUGUGGUUUGGGAGAGAGUACUGUCUUUGUAAGAGGUGCAUUUCCUUUAUUCCUUAUGCUCAUCACUGAUGCUGAUGCUCCACUAACUGUCCCACCACUUUGCAUCAUUUAGCUCCACUGAUGCCCUGUUCAACAAUGACAUAUCUACAGCGAAUAUUGUCCAUUGGAUGGUUGGAUGGAUACUCUCUUCUUAUACAAGGUUAGGUCAUUGGAGGACGGCACUGAAAUUGCAACCUUUGCUGAGAUCCAACGCUUUUGCAAGGGGGAAGUAUUGGUGAAUCUGUACACUGUGCUAUCUAUAUACACACUUCCUGCACGAUUUCAUUUUCUCGCUGCUCAAGUGAUGUCAAUAAGAGGAGGAACAGGGAUGAUGGUUCUGUAGGAAGUGCUAUUUGGGUUUUCAACUGCCUCCUCUGUUUCUGCGUUGUUUAAUUUGGUAAGCUCAAAUUGAUUGUCUGGUCCAUAAAGGGUUCAUAUGUUUUCUUUCCUCUCUCACUCUUCAUGUACCUAGUUUUCUGCCAGAGAAUUCAUUUUCUCGAUGCUCAAGUGACGCCUCAGUACACUUGUUUUCUGCCAGAGAAUUCAUUUUCUCGAUGCUCAAGUGAUGCCGAUAAGAGGAGGAACAGAGAGGAUGCUUCAGUAGGAACUGCUCCUUGCGUUUUCAUCCUCCUCCUCUGUCUCUGCAUCAUAUCCUUUCAGUUUGGUAAGCUCGAAUUCAACAGUUAGUCCAUAACGAUUCAGAUUUCAUAAUCUUUCUGGUCCUAGUUCACGCCAGAUUUGCAUGUGUUGAUUAUGCACCACUUCAUUUUUCUUUCUGUCAGAGAGAUGAUUGAAGAGUGAAGAGAUCCCGUGCGCAACCUUGUGGAUACACCUUCCGCCUGCUGAUUAGUAGCAGCAAAAGUGUAGUUGCUCCUUCAGCUGCACAAUUCAUGUGACACAAGGAAGAUGAAGGUUUUAGCCAGGAAGUGAUGCCUCUCCAGUUUCCAGCUAUCCCUCUGCUGAUUUGCGUCCUUUAGCUCUGGUUUGCUCUGCCGCUGCUCAGGGUAUGCUUUUUGCUCUGCUCUGGGUUGCUCUGCUCAUGGUUUGUAUCAUCAUUACCAUAAGUUUGCUCAUGGUGAAUCAAACAAUCAUAGUAGAGGUUUCUUUUGCAUGAUACCAAAUAUUGUCCCAAAUAAUUACAUCAUUUUAAAGCACAACAUAAAAGGACAGAAUGCUAACUCUUUAUACUUCAUACCUCACUGUACAACUCAUUUUUGUUAAAGAACAUCAUGUACCUAGUUUAUUAGUUUGUGAUCUAUAUGGAAUGGCAUUGUGCAUACUGAAAAUACAAAGGAAAACAAUAAUAAUAAGGUGGCCCAGCAUCGUGGAUAUUUCUUAACCUACAUGCCAUGUGAAUCUUACAGUACAAAUCAAUACUAGUAUAUGUUAAUCUUAUUCAAAACACAAUUCAAUUUUUGAAAACUAUCAUUUUUAGACCAAGUUAACACAUUUGAACAUUUAUUGCCAGCCUGCAACUUGUUUGGUGGAUCUCCCUCAACAUCUUUGCAUUGUAACAUGGCAACUAGAAUAUUUUGUUGGAUCAUGUGUUAAGAAGUUGCAAGAGAUAGUUACACAUGAGGCCAUACUAAUUUUAGGUGUAAAAGAUGAGCUCACAGAACUGCAGAGAAGGAUGGAGAGAAUACAUCAAUUUCUUAAUGACGCAGAGCAAUGGAGCUCAAAAGAAUCAGAUGACAAUAAUUGUCUUGGUCAGCUAAGAGAUGCUAUGUAUGACGGUGAUGAUAUUAUCGACUUGGCUAGAUCUAAAGGAAGCAAGCUAUUACCAGAUCAUUCUCUGUCAUUAUCAAGCAAAUCUACAUGCAGUGGCUUUUCCCCCUUCUCUUGCUUUUCUAAUAUCCAGACGCGUCAUCAGGUUGCUGUCAAGAUUACAAGCCUAAACAAAAGAAUAGACAAUAUUUUAAAGGAUAAAGAAAUUUCAUCUGUCCCAAAUAUACAACCUACUAGAAAAGAUUUAGACUCGAAACUGAGAAAAAUUCCAACCUUGUUGAACCCUACCUUGUGGGUAAGGAGGUCAUACAUGCUACAAGAAAACUAGUGGAUUUGCUACUUGAACAAGGACAAGAGGUCUUACAAGCUUGCUAUUGUUGGAACAGGAGGAGUUGGUAAGAUAACACUAGCAUAGAAAAUAUACAACGACCGAAAAAUAAAAGGGUUCUUCGACAAACAAGCAUGGGUUUGUAUCUCAAAAGAUUACUCUAAAAUUACUAUUCUAAAGGAGAUUCUUCGAAAAAUUGAAGUACAAUACAUGCAAGAUGAGUCAAUUGAUGAGCUCCAAAGCAAGCUGAAAUUAGCCAUCAAUGAGAAGAGCUUCUUUCUUGUGUUGGAUGAUGUCAGGGAUUCUCAUACAUGGGCAAAUCUAUUGAAGAACCCAUUGCAUACUGCAGCCACAGGGAUAAUUCUAUUGACGUCUCGACUUGACACUGUUGCUGUAGAAAUUGAAGUGGACUAUACACACCGAGUUGAUUUAAUGUCAGUGGACGUAGGAUGUGAGUUACUUUGGAAGAGCAUGGACAUCAAUGAAGAAAAUGUAGUAGAAAAUCUGUGAGACUUAGGGAAAGAUAUUGUUCGCAGAUGUGGUUGUCUUCCUCUUGGAAUUAAGGUUAUUGCUAGAGUUUUGGCAAGCAAAGAUCAAACUGAGAAUGAAUGGAAGAAGAUUUUAAGAAAAGAUGCUUGGUCCAUGAGCAAACUUCAUAGUGAAGUAACACGUGCCUUGUAUCUAAGCUAUGAAGAUCUACCACACUGUUUAAAGCAGUUUUUUAUGUAUUGUGCCAUGUUUCCUGAAGAUUCAGUUAUUUUCCGUGAUGAUAUCGUGAGGAUGUGGGUGGCUGAAAGGUUCAUAGAUGAGCAAGAUGGACAACUACUAGAAGAUACAGCUGAAGAAUACUACUAUGAGUUGAUAUGUAGAAAUCUCUUCGAACCAGAUUAUUCUGAGGCUGAUCUUAGUCGAUGCAGAAUGCAUGAUCUACUAAGGCAGCUUGCUUGUCAUUUAUCUAGAGAGGAAUGUUUUGUUGGUGAUCCAGAAUCAAGAACAGUUAGUGUUGUGAGUAAAUUUAGACGUAUUUCAGUUGUCACUAUGAAGGAUAUGGUGGUGUUACCUAGCAUAGAUAAGGAGCAGUAUAAAGUGAGAACUUGGAGGACAUCAUAUGAAAAGUCAUUAAGAGUUGAUAAUACAAUAUUAAGAAAACUUCAAUGUAUUCGAGUUUUGGAUUUGACUGACUCUCCAUUAUACAAGGUAUUCCAGAUUGUAUUGGAAGAUUAAUUCAUCUACGGUUACUUGAUCUUGAUGGAAGUGACAUAUCUAGCCUUCCUGAGUCCAUUUGUUGUCUCAUAAACCUUCAGAUACUGAACUUGAAUCGAUGUGUUGCAUUGUAUAGUCUCCCUCUAGGAAUAACUCGGUUAUGUAACCUGAGACGCCUUGGUCUUGCUGGAUCACCAAUAAAUCAGGUUCCAAAAGAGAAAGCUAAACUGAAGUUUCUCAAUGAUUUACAAGGAUUUCCUGUUGGUGGUGGCAGUGAUAAUAGUGCUAGAACGCAAGAUGGAUGGAAUCUAGACGAGCUGGGUCCUCUUUCACAGCUGCGGAAGCUUCGUAUCAUUAAGUUGGAAAGAGCAUCUCCUUACAGUACAGAUUCAUUGUUACGAGACAAAAAAUUUCUCAAACUAUUAUAUUUAUAUUGUACAGAACGUACAGAUGAUCCAUAUUGUGAAGAAGAUGUAAUCAAUAUUGAGAGGACUUUUGAGAAGCUAAUCCCUCCACGGAGCAUUCAAGAAAUAAUGAUUGCAGAUUUUUUUGGUCCGAGGUUUCCUACCUGGCUAGAUACUGAUACCUAUUUUCCAUCACUGAAAUACUUGGUUCUCCGGGAUUGCAAAUCUUGUGUGCAUCUUCCUGCAAUUGGGCAGCUCCCCAACUUGAAAUAUCUAAGAAUCAAGGGAGCCACUGCAGUCACCAAGAUUGGACCUGAAUUUAUUGGCUCCAGGGUGGGUAAUUUCGGAUCUCCAGAGGCAGUUGCUUUCCCCAAGCUUGAAAUGUUGGUCAUCACGGAUAUGCCCAACUGGGAGGAGUGGACCUUUGUAGUUGAAGAAGAAGAAGCAACAGCAGCAGGUAAGGAAGAUGGAGAGGAUGGAGCUGCUACAAAGCAAAAGGUAGAAGCUCCAACUCCAAGGAUGCAGCUGCUGCCUUGUUUGAAGGACUUGCGACUUGUCAACUGUCCCA
RNAcentral lists this long non-coding RNA (39825 nucleotides) under Setaria italica (foxtail millet). Its description in RNAcentral is "long non-coding RNA (SITA_LNC006054)". The record is from RNAcentral. Lineage: Eukaryota; Viridiplantae; Streptophyta; Magnoliopsida; Poales; Poaceae.